RNAcentral lists this ribosomal RNA (388 nucleotides) under Biecheleriopsis sp. Its description in RNAcentral is "partial small subunit ribosomal RNA". It matches the Rfam family "Eukaryotic small subunit ribosomal RNA", at positions 582 to 975 of the family's 1831-position model. Lineage: Eukaryota; Dinophyceae; Lophodiniales; Lophodiniaceae. The record is from RNAcentral.
AUUCCAGCUCCAAUAGCGUAUAUUAAAGUUGUUGCGGUUAAAAAGCUCGUAGUUGGAUUUCUGCUGAGGAUGACCGGUCCGCCCUCUGGGUGAGUAUCUGGCUCAGCCUUGGCAUCUUCCUGAAGAACGUAUCUGCACUUGACUGUGUGGUGCGGUAUUUAGGACAUUUACUUUGAGGAAAUUAGAGUGUUUCAAGCAAGCGCACGCCUUGAAUACAUUAGCAUGGAAUAAUAAGAUAGGACUCUGGCCUAUCUUGUUGGUCUGUAGGACCGGAGUAAUGAUUAAGAGGGACAGUCGGGGGCACUCGUAUUUCAUUGUCAGAGGUGAAAUUCUUGGAUUUAUGAAAGACGAACUACUGCGAAAGCAUUUGCCAAGGAUGUUUUCAUCA